RNAcentral lists this transfer RNA (74 nucleotides) under Archangium sp. RNAcentral's name for it is "tRNA-Arg". It matches the Rfam family "tRNA". Rfam says of the family: Transfer RNA (tRNA) molecules are approximately 80 nucleotides in length. The record is from RNAcentral. Lineage: Bacteria; Pseudomonadati; Myxococcota; Myxococcia; Myxococcales; Archangiaceae.
GCUCCGUUAGCUCAGCUGGAUAGAGCGUUGGACUACGAAUCCAAAGGCCGGGGGUUCGAAUCCCUCACGGAGCG